Molecule: long non-coding RNA, 2893 nt
Filed under: Gossypium barbadense (sea-island cotton)
Lineage: Eukaryota; Viridiplantae; Streptophyta; Magnoliopsida; Malvales; Malvaceae
Description: long non-coding RNA (GBAR_LNC000178)
Source: RNAcentral
UUUUAUUGUAUAUUGGUUUGUUCAUCUUUCAUGUAUAUCGUUUAUUCUUUGUUAUGGUAUUAUAUCUUCAUUAUAUAUUGUUUUAUUGAUUUUUAUUAUUGAAUGUAUAUUAACACCUUUAAAUAUAUAGGUUUGGUUUUUAAAAUAUUCUUGCAUGUUAUUAACUCCAAAUUUCUUCUUUCAUAACGUUUUAUUUUAAUAUUCAAUUACAUAUUAUUAGUUUUCUUUUUAUAUAUGUAUAUCAUUUCAAAUCCAAUCAUGUGUUGUUCAUUUUGUAAAUUUUCAUAUAUUUAAUAGUUUUCAAAUUAUUUCCAAAUUGUUUUGUGUACUAUGUGUCGCUUUAGUUUUCAUGUUAUUAUAUGUAUUAUUGCUUUAUAUUGAUUAUUAGCCUUUUACACUAUUAUUUAAAUUAUGUUAAUUUGUUCUUUUGUUUACUUGUAUAAUAUUUCGUAUAGUAAUCCACGUUGGUAACUUUGAUUUUUUCUAUAUUGUUGUAUCGUGAUUCAAAUUUUAGUAUUUUGGUUGAUAUUAAUUGUUUCGUUGUUAUUUCAAGAAAAAUAAAAGCGUUUUGAGCAAAUUCUCAAUUUUCCUUAUCAUUCAAAAAUUCUGAAAUAAGGCAAUAUCCCAAAUUUGGGAAUUCGAGAAAUCGUGCUCAAUCGUGCUGGGUAUGAUUUUUCGGUGAACUAAAUAUUUGGGAUAACCUUUUAUAAUGUUAUUGUACGAGUUUUUUUUGAAAGUCAAAAAAUCGAUCGUAUUCUUGAAGGUAUAAAGGAUCGUAUCUAAUCGUGCUGGGUAUGAUGCUGCAUAUAUUUGAAACGAGAGAAUUUUGACAGCAAACUUGAACUAUUCACACAUUUUAAAGAAUCAUGCUUUGAAAGAUCUUUUUUCUUAAAAUCUUUGAUAUAAGGAUAGCAUCGAAUCAAUUUGGUACCAAUUUUUGGAUGUAAUGAGGGUGCUCAUCCUUCCUCAUACGUAACCGGCUCUCGAACCUAUUUUUAAAUUUUUUUGGACUAGAAUUGUUUUAAAAUGUUUUAUUAGGUGAUCCAAUCACACUUCAACAAAAGAUUGGUGGCGACUCCACAUUUUCGGUUUUAAAAAGUUGAUUCCCGUUUUUUUUCCAAAAAUAGCAAUGGUUUCGACAACAUGUAUUAUUGUUAUUUGUUAUUAUAUAGAUAUUUUAUAAUUAAAUAUUAAUUAAGUAAAUAAAAUGAAAUAAAGAAACAAAAGAAGAAGAAUAGAAAGUUACAGAGAAAGAAACGUGAAAGAGAGUAAGAAAGAAGAAAAGAAAAAGAAAAAGGGAAAAUUGAAGGUUAAUGACUUAAAGCUUGAUUGGUAAGUUGAUUUAGUUCUUUUUCUUGUGAUUUUUAUCUGUAUGGAAUUCCAAUUCAAAGUUCUACAUGUAUGAGGUUAAUAUGAAGAAAAAUAAUGAAUUUUUAGAUGUUUAUUUAGAUAAAUAAUUUGAGGAUUUAUGGGUUAAUUUGAUAGAAAUUUAAGUUAGAAGUGAAAAAUGAGUGAAUUGUUAAAAGAAUUUUAAGUUAGGUUUAAGUAAGGACUAAAUUGAAAGGAGCUCAAAAGUUAUUUUUUUGAUGAAUUUUAUGAGCUAGAAAUUAUUAAUGAGAUGAUUAAAUGAAAAUAUGAAGAUUAAGUUCAAGAAAAAGAUUGGUUAUGGAAAAAGGACGAAAUUGGAAUUUUUGUAAAAGUUUGAUAGAAAGUGGAAAUGUGAGUUAUGAAUUAGUGUAUUGAUAAAUUUUAAUUGUAUAAUUGUUCGUAGCUAACGUAGCACCGGAAUCGUCAUUGAAUAAGAAGGGAAAGGAAAAAGUGAUCGAGGAGUAGCUCGAGAAAAUAUCGGUUUGUAUUAUCAUAAUUCAAGUUUAAUUUUAAUAUAUGUGUAUGGAAUUUGAAUGUGAGGUAAGUAGUGAUAUUUGAAUUGAAUGAAAAUUGGAUUUGAUUGAUGAAUGUAUACAUGUGUGAAAUUGAAUUGUAUAAUGAGUUGUGGAGAAUUUGAAAUUGUGAUUGAAUUGUUAUUGCAGUGGACUUGAAUUCGAAUGAUUACGAUCAACUGAAAGUGAAAGUGAUAUGAAUAUGUGAUUUUGAUACCCUAUUAACUAGUCGGGCUAGGGUGGAUAUAGUUGGCAUGUCAUAGGAUAGGAAGAGUUCAGGGAUUCUUCGACCUUGAGUCGAUGAGACACUUGGUGUGUCAUAUUUACUUUGGAUAGAUUCGAUGAGGCGUUGGUUGCCAUACUGGUGUGUUUGGUUGGAUCCAUGUAUCCGCCAAAGUCCGAGUCAUGUUAAUAGGGGAAAAUAAGUGAAAUAAUAAAAUUAAAUGAAUUUGGUUAAUUGAGCUAUUGAAUGAAAUGAGAAAGUGAUAUUGUAUGAUGGAAUGUGAGAUGAAAUUUGUAAAGUGAUUGAAGGCAUGAACCAAAGGUUUAUGAAGUGUUUAUAUUUGAAAUGUGAAUUGAAUAAUUAUAAGUGGUUGAGAGAUGAAUCAAAGGUUCAUGAGUUAUUUGAAAUCUCAUUGAUGAUUUAUUGGAUCUAUCAUUGGAAAUGAUAUAAUGGAAAUAUGAUAGUUUAGUAUGAAUUUAUAUGUAUGAUUUUUAUGAAUGAUUUGCUAAUUAUCUAUGUAUAUUAUGAUAUUUUAUUGUUGUUAUAAUUUGAAUUAUGAUAAUAGCACUGAGUAUUUCCAAUACUCAGUGUAAGGUUGUUUUCCAUCCGUAGGUUAGGUAAAGUUGAAGUUCAGUCAAGCAUCCGAGUCAAUCUCGACCUCAGCUCAAUUUUGGUGAUGCAUCUAUCUUUUAGAAAUGUGGCAUGUACUAGGUUUGGUGUUUGUCACUUGUAAAUGUUUUAUAUUUUGAAUGUAAAUGUGGUGCAUAAUCCUUAAGAGGUAAUGAAAUGA